GCCCGUUUAGAGCAGUGGUUUAGCUCGCUGGCCUCCGAUUCUCUCCUUGAAUCCUCAAAGCCAGAAGUCAUUGGUUCGAAUCCGAUAGCGGGUG
Molecule: non-coding RNA, 94 nt
Organism: Biscogniauxia marginata
Lineage: Eukaryota; Fungi; Ascomycota; Sordariomycetes; Xylariales; Xylariaceae
Source: the annotation of a GenBank genome assembly